GCAGGUUGAAGGUGCGGUAACACGCACUGGAGGACCGAACCCACGUCUGUUGAAAAAGACGGGGAUGACGUGUGGCUAGGGGUGAAAGGCCAAUCAAACUCGGAGAUAGCUGGUUCUCCGCGAAAUCUAUUUAGGUAGAGCGUCACGUGAAUACCCUCGGGGGUAGAGCACUGGAUGGGCUAGGGGGCCGCGAGGCUUACCAAACCUAACCAAACUCCGAAUACCGAUGAGUAAUAUCUGGCAGACACACUACGGGUGCUAAGGUCCGUAGUGGAAAGGGAAACAGCCCUGACCGCCAGCUAAGGUCCCUAAGUUAUCACUAAGUGGGAAACGAUGUGGAAGUGCUUAGACAACCAGGAGGUUGGC
This 366-nucleotide ribosomal RNA is filed under the name Isochrysis galbana. RNAcentral's name for it is "partial Bacterial large subunit ribosomal RNA". It matches the Rfam family "Bacterial large subunit ribosomal RNA", at positions 740 to 1105 of the family's 2925-position model. Lineage: Eukaryota; Haptophyta; Isochrysidales; Isochrysidaceae. The record is from RNAcentral.